AACUUGAAUGUUCGUGAUUUUCCAGAGCUUAUCUUAUUCUGAAUCUUUUCAGGGAUUUUAUUUCUUUCUUUAUAGAUUGCUGGGGAAUUAUGGGAAGAUGCUGCCAUAUAUGGGCCACCUACGGGGUGUGGAAGGAGUCAAAGCCAGGGGCUUUAGGCGUCCUGUAGGUAUCUGGCAAAUAUCAAUGAGAGUGAGAGAUUGGGAAAUGGUCUCACACCAUGGAGGUUGGCCUUCAAGACCGCUCCCAGUGAUUUCUGCUUCCUGGUCUUCAUAGUCUUUUCAAGUUCCCUCUCACACUGUACUAAGGUAGGUCUGUAUGAUCACUAGCACACAGACAACAUAUGGUAUGAAACUUCUAAGAUU
This 363-nucleotide long non-coding RNA is filed under the name Vulpes vulpes (red fox). Its description in RNAcentral is "lncRNA (ENSVVUG00000015646.1)". The record is from RNAcentral. Lineage: Eukaryota; Metazoa; Chordata; Mammalia; Carnivora; Canidae.